GAUGAACGCUAGCUACAGGCUUAACACAUGCAAGUCGAGGGGUAACGAGAGGAAAGCUUGCUUUCCUUGUCGACGACCGGCGCACGGGUGAGUAACGCGUAUCCAACCUGCCCCCAACUAGGGAAUAACCUUGCGAAAGUAAGACUAAUACCCUAUAAUUUCCUCAGAUGUCAUCUGACGAGGAAUAAAGAUUUAUCGGUUGUGUAUGGGGAUGCGUCUGAUUAGCUUGUUGGCGGGGUAACGGCACACCAAGGCAACGAUCAGUAGGGGUUCUGAGAGGAAGGUCCCCCACAUUGGAACUGAGACACGGUCCAAACUCCUACGGGAGGCAGCAGUGAGGAAUAUUGGUCAAUGGGCGGAAGCCUGAACCAGCCAAGUAGCGUGCAGGAUGACGGCCCUAUGGGUUGUAAACUGCUUUUAUACAGGAAUAAAGUUAGCCACGUGUGGUUAUUUGUAGGUACUGUCUGAAUAAGGACCGGCUAAUUCCGUGCCAGCCGCCGCCGUAA
RNAcentral lists this ribosomal RNA (506 nucleotides) under uncultured bacterium. RNAcentral describes it as "partial 16S ribosomal RNA". It matches the Rfam family "Bacterial small subunit ribosomal RNA", at positions 28 to 523 of the family's 1533-position model. The record is from RNAcentral.